GGAGAAGGGGGGUGGGGGAUGGGGAGGACGAAAGGCUGGGUUGGGGCAGGUGGGGGAGAGCGUUGGGCAGGGUAAGGGAGAGGCGAGCGAGAUGGUUGUUUGGUUGGCGGUCUGACUGGCUACUGCUGCCCCACUCCACGCCUCCAGCCAGUCACCCAGUUAACCAGCCAGUCACCCAACCAGUCACCCAGUCAGCCAGCCAGUGCGCGAAUCAGACAACCAGUUAUUCAGACAAGUAAUUACCCAAGCAAAUAAACUCUCCCUGUCCCUCCCACUCAGUCAGUUAUCCAGUCAGACAGUCAAUCACUCAUCCAGUCAGUUAUCCAUCCAGGUAGACGAACACACUCAGUUUUGUUGUUCUCACGCGAUACGGCAGACAGUCAAACAGCCAUUCAGUCAGUCAACCAGCCAGUCAUCCAGCCAGUCAGCCGAACACAUUCACUCCUAUUGUUUACACACGAUAAGCCAGUCAGCCAACCAGUCAUUCACCCAGCUAGCCAAUCAGUUAUUCACCCAGCCAGCCAACCAGUCAGCCAGUCAUUCACCCAGCCAGCCAGCCAGUCAGCCAGUCAUUCGCCCAGCUAGCCAACCAGUUAUUCACCCAGCCAACCAGCCAGUCAUUCAGCCAAUCAGCCAACCAGUCAUUCAGCCAGUCAGCCAACCAGUCAACCAGCCGAACACUCCCACUCCCUGUCACUCCCACGCGACUAGUUUCAGAAUCCUCACACUCCCAGGAUCCGCCUGUGGGAGAGAGCACAAAGAAAUCGUUAAAAGUGGAAGGCAAGUGGAAGGAAGGAAGGAAUAAGUCAAAGGCAUGUCCUGUGUUAAGGCGCCGGUUAGAGGGUCGCCUGCUCCACGCUGCCACGCUUAAUAACUUGCCUCGUUAUCAGUAUUUCCAAACUUGUAUUGCUCUGAGGGAAGCGACGCUGUAGUACUUCCUUCGUUUUUUUGCUUCCCCUGUUUGACAUCUGCUGUUAAACUCCUGUCCACUCUGCUACGUGUAUCUCGCCUCCCCGUCGCCCCUUCUUCCCCUCCCUUUAUAUUUCUCACUCACUGCCUUCCCCUCGUAUAUCGUCACCCUCACAAAUUAAUCGCCUUAGUCAAUUUUCAGCGAUUUCCAGGUUUUUGUUUACAUCAGUUUUUCAUCAUGUGACGGCCAUUCUUGUAUAGUUGCCUUCGUUAUUCAGGGUUUGAGUGUUCUAGAAUUGGCCUUUUCAUUCCUGCCUAAAUCUUAAGCCAAAUGAGAUGAUGACAGUUCUUUUCUGAUUUCCUGUAAAGUAGAAAAUAAUGACUUAGGCGGCUUGUUUACGAAGGUGACGAUAUAUAUCUUUCACUUACCUUUCCUCUCCUCGCAUCUCUCGCUAACCUAUUUUGCCACUCUAGCUCUUAAGUCAACUCUGCUGUAUUGUCUGACGUACCUUUUCUUCUGUAUCCGCACCCUUGUCCUCCUCCUCCCUCACUUCCCUCCCCUCAUGUCCCUCGCCCUCACUCUCUUCACGUCUCCAAAGGCUGCAUCACGAACAAUAUUUUUUCAUCAUUUUCUGGCUCUGUAAUCUCCCAGUGCAUGCGAGUAUCCAAAGUGCCGGUGUGUCGCUGACCGAACUGUACGGGCACGUCUUCCGGGCAUGACCUCCGGAAGUGCUUGACUUGCUAUGAUUGCUACAUGUAAAAAAGGGGUGUAUGGACCUGUUAGUGGUUGGCAAUUGAGUGGAAAGAGGGUAUCAUCGAGCACUUACGAUCUGCAGACAUCUAGGCUCUUUUGCUCAAACACAGAAUAUCACAGGAGGUUACCAGGACCGGCUUACCUUCGUGGUGUCUCCAGACUUUUUCAGUACCAUGCGAGCAGAAUUAAAGCUGUUACAUUGAGUUUGGUCUCGAAUACAAGCAAAGAUUCCAUAACCUAGUAUCAAGAAGACGGUCAUGGACGAACUGUCAGUGCGGACAUGUAUAGUUGUCCCAAGAUCCUCUCACUGGUAGACAAACACCAAAAAAUGCUAGAAAAUUGGUUCCUGUGGCUCCGUCUUUAUUCUCACGUCCGCUCUGCUGCGUUAUCUCACGUUCAUCGGUUCUCAGUCUUACCCACGUCCUCCCCCCUCCCCCCUCCCCCCACCUCAUUACCCACACUCUCACUCCUUUCAGUGUUGUAACUCCUACGUCCACCAUGCUACACCGCCUCACAUCCCUCCAGCACCUUUGAUCUCAUUUUUAUCUUCCUCCUCCUUUACUUCCUCCUCCCUCCCUUCCCUUGCUCUCGAUCGUUAAUGCAAUACAAAGGUUAUAUUCUGAGAUAAUUUGUCCUUUCCCCUUUUUAUUCUUCUUCCUCUCUUGGACCGGAACACAUUUUAGGAGAGAGCAACGGGUUAAUACCUUCCAAAGUUAACCAGUCUCAAAGUUUUCUUAAUUAUUAUUAUUAUUACUUUUUUUUCGUGGGUCAUUGCGAACUCUUUUCCCGUUUUAACUUCAACGUAAACCCGCGUCCAUUCGUGCAUAUAAACGGUCCUAAAGGUGAUAUCAGUCCUGUGAGAGAUAUAAGUAAUUUGAGUGUUAGCAGUCCAAUAGGUGAUGUAUGGGUGAAAUUAGGCUUGCUUUUUAAUUUUUUUCCGUGCAUGUGAGAAAAUCGACCGUAAGAAACACACGUGGGUCUUGUCCUGCCCCGAGGUCGCGAUAUGCAGAUGAGAAGCAAAAGGAAAUGAACGAGUGACGGCAAACAUACAAUGAUUCACACAUAUAUACAAAAAAAAAAGACAACAUGGACAUAUUUACUAUUCGGGGAAGGAGGAGAAGGAGGAGGAGGAAAGGAAAUGCCAAGACGUAAAUCCACAAACAAUAUAGAAAAGUGGCGCCGUUGUGAAGGGUGAAUCACAACAUACCAUCAUCAACAUCAGCAGCAGUGACGUUAUUUCCCCUUCAUACGGUAAACUAGACAGAGCAAGGGCGUGUUACUCCUGAAGGAAACUAGAGAUGCCGAAAAGAGAAUGAUCAUAUUUCCCCUUCUUACGUUAUAAAUAAUAUGUACACGCUAAAAAGAGCAAGGAAUAAAGAAUAACAUUUUCCCCUUCAUACGGUAAACUAAACAGACCAAGGGCGUGUUACUCCUGAAGAAAACCAGAGAUGCCGAAAAGAGAAUGAUCAGAUCUCCUCCUCUUACGGUAUAGAGAAUAAGGAUACGGUAUGAAGAAUAAGGAAUAAGGAGCCAGAUUUUCCUCUCUAAUGCUAAACUGGACAGUCCAAGGGCGUGUUACUCCUGAAGAAAACUAUAGAUGCCGAAAAGAGAAUGAUCAGAUUUCGUCCUCUUACGGUACAGAGAAUAAGGAUACGAUAUAAAGAAUAAGGAAUAAGGAGUCAGAUUUUCCUCUCUAAUGCUAAACUGGACAGACCAAGGGCGUGUUACUCCUGAAGAAAACUAUAGAUGCCGAAAAAAGAAUGAUCAGAUAUCCUCCUCUUACUGUACAGAGAAUAAGGAUACGGUAUAAAGAACAUAAGAACAUAAGAACGUAUGGAGUCUGCAAGAGUUAAGGAAUAAGGAGUCAGAUUUUCCUCUCUAAUGUUAAACUGGACAGACCAAGGGCAUGUUAGUUACUGUGAAGCUUAUAUACUAAUGAUGCCGAAAAGAGAUACAAGUUUAGUGUACUCGCGUAGUUAUAUAAAACACGUGUAUUUAUGAUAAGACAAAGGUUGAUGUUAGACGCUUCCAUCCCUCACAUCAAAUAUUUCCAGAGGCCGAAAAGGAGAUUAGUCGGGUUAUAAAGAGAGUUCGUUUAGGUUCAUGGUACAGAAGAAGGACCAAGGUGCCAGAAGGAUCAUAAAACUACCCCCGAAAAUGCCCCUAAAAAAAACUCUUACGAUAGCCUAGUAAUGCCCUUAAAAAAAACUCUUUCGAUAGCCUGGUAAAAAAAUGUGGACUUGGGCCGAGAUAUAUUUAAUUAAGAAUAUGACCCAAACUGUAUAGAAAGAACUUGGUGUUAGUUAAGAAAAUACCAAACGGGAGAUAUCUAAUGAAAGCAAAUUUAAACACUGAAAGAACUUGAUUUUGCUGAGUAGAAAACAAAGCGGAAGGCAUGUUUAUAUAAAGAAAAAAAGGACAAACGUGAGAUAUCGAAUAAAAACAAAAUUCCACGUGUAAAGAACUUGAUAUUACCGACUAGACGACUAAAUUAACGGAAGGCGUGUUAUAUAAGGAAAACUGAGGCAAAAACUCUUCGUAGUGAAUUGAGCAGAACAUGUAGCGUUAACCGAGUGGAAAAUUGUUAAGAAAGGAAAGAAGGGAAGAGAGAGAGAGAAGUGGUACCUGACGCGGAAACUCUAAAAUGACACACUGCAGGGAAAGCGAAGAAUUAUUGAGCGUUUAACAGGACGGAAGACGUUAAACACAUGCAAAGGGGAGACUGAAGGGAAGCGAGCGAGUGAACAGGAAGGACGACGAGGGAUAAAAAGAAAAAGAAAGGAAAAAAGAAAGGAAAAAAGAGAGGAAAAGAAAAAAUAUAUAUCCUCGAGGAGACGGAAAAUAGAAAAAAAGAAAAAAAAGGAAGAAAUAAAAGGAAAAUAAAUCAAACUCGAGUUGCUGUUAUUAGAGAAGUUGUUGAGGAUUCGUAUAUGUUACCUCGUUAAUGACUGAAGGGAAGCGAGCGAGUGAACAGGAAGGGAGGAGACGGAUAAAAAGAAAAAAAAGAAAAAAGAAGAAAAAGAAAGGAAAAUAAAAAGGCAAAGAAAAAAUAAAAAAAAUGUAUAUCCUCGCGGAGACGGAAAAU
Molecule: long non-coding RNA, 4748 nt
Organism: Eriocheir sinensis (Chinese mitten crab)
Lineage: Eukaryota; Metazoa; Arthropoda; Malacostraca; Decapoda; Varunidae
Exons: 2
Source: RefSeq, a predicted model, not a curated record